GGGGCGAAUGUACCAAGGUUGGCGAAACGGUCUCCAAAACCGUUUGGGUGGGUUCGAUUCCCAACCGUCCCUGCCA
This 76-nucleotide transfer RNA is filed under the name Caudoviricetes sp. RNAcentral describes it as "tRNA-Trp". Lineage: Duplodnaviria; Heunggongvirae; Uroviricota; Caudoviricetes. The record is from RNAcentral.